AACCCCUGGCAAUGGGCAAAGAGACACCUGAUUGGUGUUUCUCUUAUAUCAGUCAGGGGCAAAAAAAUCGUACAGUCCUUUGUUCAUCCUAGCUUGAUGCCUGCGUUGGUGGCCAGACUAUUGCAUGCCUGAGGCACAUUA
Molecule: small nucleolar RNA, 141 nt
Organism: Rhinolophus ferrumequinum (greater horseshoe bat)
Lineage: Eukaryota; Metazoa; Chordata; Mammalia; Chiroptera; Rhinolophidae
Source: Ensembl